GCGGCUUCCUGAAGGCAAAUGGCUGAAGAACUUCUACCAAGGACGCGAUUUAAGACGAAUUUGCCAGCGCUGGGGGUACUGAGUGCUUAUGUGUUGAGGCAGGCCACUAAAGAAUUCCAAAAGGAGCUUAGAAAUGCCAUCUGCUGGGGUGGUGAUCAUUUUCUGACAUGGUCACAGAAACCAUACGUGCAGAUUUCUAAAAAAUGCUUGGAUUUUAAAGAAUGUUCUUGAGGAAGCAACAGAACAGUGGUUUGGCUGCGGCACUCAGUAGCGCGUGCUUUUUCUCCAGGGAGUAAUUGAUGGUUAAUCCCAGGGUUCUCUGCUCUGAACGGCAGCCUGGGGCACAAAGCUGUCCGGAGUGGGUCCCGCCACCCUCUGCUCAGCUCCAGUUCGAUCCCCACCAAUUGCCACACUGCCAGGCACUCCAGACAGGUGGCUCCCCGGCCUUUCUCAGGGGGCGUCUUCCGUCCGUCCGGGAAACGCGUUCUGCUCCUCUUCCCGACCUCUUGCCAGGCCCAGCUGCCAGCUCCUCCCCGGUUCCCCCCUACUCUGCACAUGGGUGCACUCCAGCAUUUGACCAGCUCUGGAGUUGAUCAUUUCCUUGUUGCCUGCGUCUCAGAAGACUUCAAACUUCGCUGUAUAUUCCUGCAUGAUGAGGAACUGUUUCUGCCCAGGCCAUAUGCCCGGAUGUGAGUGGCAAAUAAGCCAAAUGAAAUAAAAACAGAAACCUGGCAGGCCACACCUCCCUAAACCGGGACAAGCAGUACUGAGCUGAUCAAUUCUGCUCCUAAACAGCAGCCCACAUGACUGGCACAGGGCGUUUCCACAAUGGAGGCAUGUGUCUUCGAAUGUGUGCACACAGUUGUGAGUUUCUGAGUGCACAUGUACACGCGCAUGGACAGGUAAACACACACCCCCACCACAGAGAAUAUUUACUCCUACUGACAUGAGAAACAAAUUGUUUUUCUUUUACUAAAACCCACAAACAUUAAAAAUUAGUCACUUUAUGUCAACAUAUUUAGUCUCUUGUUCUUGUAAAGGCAGAGCUGCGUAUUUUCCAAGUUCUCAUUUAACCACAGGAGCAGGUGGGUGACAGCCACACCCCACAAUGCAUCGUCAAGGCAGGAGCAUGACUCGAAAUCAUCCACUGUUUCUGUAUUCUCAAGAUCCCUAUCGCUGAUCUCCACAGGCUCUCCCAUGCUGACACUCCAGGGUUGCAGCAUCCCGACUUGCUUUGUGAAUCCAGAUCUCUCCACCUUUCCACCCUUAUGCAUCUCACUGUUGCACUGUUACGCCCUGACCGUGCCAGUGCAAUGGACCCAGCCUGAUCUCCACAACGUGAUGCUGCCUGUUCCUCCAUGUGGUCGGUACAAGCGCUGGCCCCUCUCUCAGCUGCUGCCCUCUUCUCUUUCCCACCUUUGCUUGCCAAGACCUUCACAGCCGGCUCCACAGCUGUCGGGGAUGUGGCUCCCGCCCUCCCGUGCCUGGCACUGGUCAGCACAGUUGGACCAGUUGCUGGCAAAGGCUGCUUGUGCCUCUUGAGUGGAGAUGAGCGAAGGAGGACUGAAUGCACCUGUCUGCAGGGUGAAACUGAUGUCUACCUGGCCUGGGCCCCUGCCGUGGGGUUGCUCAGCUCUCUGAAGGCUGGGCAGAGUAAGGAAUCCUCCUGUUUGCCCCUUCCAUCUGGGCCUUUCAUCAGGAGUAGGGGAGAGUAGGGGAAAAGAACUGGCUGGGAAGCAUGGAGCCGCGCUCUAGGGGACGCUGCAGAUGCGCAUUUUAUUUCUUUGGAGGGAAGCUGAAAGGGCCCAAUUUUUAAUGACCCUGAAGAAACAGGAUUUGUUACUUGGGGGUGUUCUGAACUUUCAGGGCAUGGGUCCCUGGAGGAAGAAUUUAAUCCCCCUGGGAAAACAAAGACAUCAUAGAAGCUGCCCAGCCUGGCUGAAUGUACUUCGGGACAGAGCUUGCCAUCACUUAAUAAGGUCUCUAUUGUGUGUGUGUGUGUGUGUGUGUGUGUGUGUGUGUGUGUGUGUGUGUGUGUGAUGGGGAAUUUCUUCCUCAGUGAGCUUGGAACUCAGGGACCUUGCAGUUUGGUUAGCAGUCUCACUGCUUUGGUGGAAACAAAGUGUGUCUUUGACGGAAUAAACAGAAAUGGAACGAAAA
Molecule: long non-coding RNA, 2160 nt
Organism: Oryctolagus cuniculus (rabbit)
Lineage: Eukaryota; Metazoa; Chordata; Mammalia; Lagomorpha; Leporidae
Source: RefSeq, a predicted model, not a curated record